GCCCGGAUGGUGAAAUCGGUAGACACAGCAGACUUAAAAUUUGCCGGCCUAUGGGCCAUGCGGGUUCGAGUCCCGCUCCGGGCA
This 84-nucleotide transfer RNA is filed under the name Gemmatimonadota bacterium. Its description in RNAcentral is "tRNA-Leu". It matches the Rfam family "tRNA". From Rfam's summary of the family: Transfer RNA (tRNA) molecules are approximately 80 nucleotides in length. The record is from RNAcentral. Lineage: Bacteria; Pseudomonadati; Gemmatimonadota.